Molecule: ribosomal RNA, 347 nt
Filed under: uncultured bacterium
Lineage: Bacteria
Description: partial 16S ribosomal RNA
Rfam family: Bacterial small subunit ribosomal RNA
Source: RNAcentral
CCUACGGGAGGCAGCAGUGAGGAAUAUUGGUCAAUGGCCGGAAGGCUGAACCAGCCAUGCCGCGUGAAGGGCAGGGACCUAGGGGCGUUAAACUUCUUUUGUGCGGGAGCAAGAAUGGUCACGUGUGGCCAGACGAGAGUACCGUACGAAUAAGCAGCGGCUAACUCCGUGCCAGCAGCUGCGGUAAUACGGGGGUUGCAAGCGUUAUCCGGAUUUAUUGGGUUUCAAGGGUGCGGAGGCUGUGAGGUAAGUCAGCGGUGAAAUGCCCCCGCUCAACGGGGGGAAGUGCCAUUGAUACUGCCUUGCUGGACUGCGGAUGCCGUGGGAGGAAUGUGUGGUGUAGCGGU